This 78-nucleotide microRNA precursor is filed under the name Chlorocebus sabaeus (green monkey). RNAcentral's name for it is "miRNA (ENSCSAG00000022203.1)". Lineage: Eukaryota; Metazoa; Chordata; Mammalia; Primates; Cercopithecidae. The record is from RNAcentral.
AAUAGUAGGUUGGUGCAAAAGUAAUUGUGUUUUUUUCAUAAAAGGAAUGGCCAAGGCCGGGCACCAUGGCUCACACCU